Molecule: non-coding RNA, 95 nt
Organism: Mycena rebaudengoi
Lineage: Eukaryota; Fungi; Basidiomycota; Agaricomycetes; Agaricales; Mycenaceae
Source: the annotation of a GenBank genome assembly
GGCUCGGUAGCGGAUGGUCCGCGUCUGCUUCAAAUGAAAAGGUAUGCAAGCGGGAUUACACGCAGAUCUCGCCUGUUCGAAUCAGGCCCGAGCCA